CGGCGGACGGGUGAGUAAUGCCUAGGAAUCUGCCUGGUAGUGGGGGACAACGUUUCGAAAGGAACGCUAAUACCGCAUACGUCCUACGGGAGAAAGCAGGGGACCUUCGGGCCUUGCGCUAUCAGAUGAGCCUAGGUCGGAUUAGCUAGUUGGUGAGGUAAUGGCUCACCAAGGCGACGAUCCGUAACUGGUCUGAGAGGAUGAUCAGUCACACUGGAACUUAGACACGGUCCAGACUCCUACGGGAGGCAGCAGCG
Molecule: ribosomal RNA, 257 nt
Filed under: uncultured Pseudomonas sp.
Lineage: Bacteria; Pseudomonadati; Pseudomonadota; Gammaproteobacteria; Pseudomonadales; Pseudomonadaceae
Description: partial 16S ribosomal RNA
Rfam family: Bacterial small subunit ribosomal RNA
Source: RNAcentral